RNAcentral lists this ribosomal RNA (324 nucleotides) under Triticum aestivum (bread wheat). Its description in RNAcentral is "partial small subunit ribosomal RNA". Lineage: Eukaryota; Viridiplantae; Streptophyta; Magnoliopsida; Poales; Poaceae. The record is from RNAcentral.
AUGGAAGAAAGAGGUCACACGAAGCUAGCAAUGAAGAAGAAAUCUCAAGUGAAGACAGGAGGGAAUCUAAACCCAAGUGCAAAAAUGACCCCAAUAUCAAAACGAAAUCUUAUGUGCGCGACAACCACAAAGUUGGUCGGCGAGAUAUGGGGUGAUUACCCUGCAACCCAUUUCCCAAAGGAUUCAAAGGAGGGGGUGAGAAUGAUGAGCAAAAGGUAUUUGAGGAGGAACAGGAAGAAAAUGAAGAAGAUGAUGUUGAAGGGGAGGUUGAAGUUGGCGAGGAACAUGUUUCAUGGACCUUGCCACCAACAAGGUCUAGAGUGA